UGGGGAAUAUUGCACAAUGGGGGAAACCCUGAUGCAGCGACGCCGCGUGAGCGAAGAAGGCUUUCGAGUCGUAAAGCUCUGUCCUAUGAGAAGAUAAUGACGGUAUCAUAGGAGGAAGCCCUGGCUAAAUACGUGCCAGCAGCCGCGGUAAUACGUAUGGGGCGAGCGUUGUCCGGAAUUAUUGGGCGUAAAGGGUACGUAGGUGGUUUUUUAAGUCAGGUGUCAAAGCGUGGAGCUUAACUCCGGGCGUGCAGGCGAUACGGGCUGACUUGAGUGCUGUAGGGGAGACUGGAAUUCCUGGUGUAGCGGUGAAAUGCGCAGAUAUCAGGAGGAACACCGAUGGCGAAGGCAGGUCUCUGGGCAGUAACUGACGCUGAGGAGCGAAAGCAUGGGUAGCGAACAGG
This 404-nucleotide ribosomal RNA is filed under the name Verrucomicrobiota bacterium. RNAcentral describes it as "Verrucomicrobia bacterium partial 16S ribosomal RNA". It matches the Rfam family "Bacterial small subunit ribosomal RNA", at positions 355 to 776 of the family's 1533-position model. The record is from RNAcentral. Lineage: Bacteria; Pseudomonadati; Verrucomicrobiota.